RNAcentral lists this ribosomal RNA (506 nucleotides) under Muda sp. WXH-2012. RNAcentral's name for it is "partial 16S ribosomal RNA". The stretch from base 381 to 506 matches the Rfam family "Archaeal large subunit ribosomal RNA", at positions 2542 to 2666 of the family's 2987-position model. The record is from RNAcentral. Lineage: Eukaryota; Metazoa; Arthropoda; Insecta; Hemiptera; Cicadidae.
GUCCUUUAGUUUUAUAUUGAAGGUUUAAUCUGCCCAAUGAUAAUUGAAUGGCCGCAGUAUAUUGACUGUGCAAAGGUAGCAUAAUAAUUAGUCUUUUAAUUGAAGGCUUGAAUGAAUGAUUGGAUGAAAAAUAAUCUUUAUUAUUAUAAAUUUUUGAAUUUAAUAUUUAAGUCAAAAAGCUUAAAUAUAUAGGUAAGACGAUAAGACCCUAUGGAAUUUAAAGUCUAAUUAAUUUUAAUAAAUUAAGAAUUAAUAAUGAUUUAAUUUGAAUAGAUUUUUUAUUGGGGUGAUAUUGAAAUAAUUUUAACUUUUAAUUGUAAUUACAUUAAUAUAUGUUAUAUUGAUCCUAUUUUUUGAUUGAAAGAUUAAAUUACCCUAGGGAUAACAGCGUAAUUAAUUUGGAGAGUUCAUAUUGAUAAAUUUAGUUUGCGACCUCGAUGUUGGAUUAAGAAAAGUGUUUGGAGCAAAAUCUAAAUAAAUUAGGUCUGUUCGACCUUUAAAUUCUU